This 515-nucleotide ribosomal RNA is filed under the name uncultured Alphaproteobacteria bacterium. RNAcentral's name for it is "bacterial SSU rRNA". It matches the Rfam family "Bacterial small subunit ribosomal RNA", at positions 523 to 1036 of the family's 1533-position model. Lineage: Bacteria; Pseudomonadati; Pseudomonadota; Alphaproteobacteria. The record is from RNAcentral.
CUACGAAGGGGGCUAGCGUUGUUCGGAAUCACUGGGCGUAAAGCGUAUGUAGGCGGAUCAAAAAGUUAGAUGUGAAAUCCCUGGGCUCAACCCAGGAACUGCAUUUAAAACUAGAGAUCUAGAAUUUGGUAGGGGUUAGUAGAAUUUCCAGUGUAGAGGUGAAAUUCGUAGAUAUUGGAAAGAAUACCAGUGGCGAAGGCGACUAACUGGGCCAUUUUUGACGCUGAGAUACGAAAGCGUGGGUAGCAAACAGGAUUAGAUACCCUGGUAGUCCACGCAGUAAACGAUGAGUGCUAGUCGCUGGGACAUUAGUUUCAGUGUCGAAGCUAACGCAUUAAGCACUCCGCCUGGGAAGUACGGUCGCAAGAUUAAAACUCAAAUAAAUUGACGGGGGCCCGCACAAGCGGUGGAGCAUGUGGUUUAAUUCGGAGCAACGCGAAGAACCUUACCAGACCUUGACAUGGUGUGUAUGAAUUACAGAAUCGUAAUUCUUCAGUUCGGCUGGCACACACACA